This is a small nuclear RNA of Oryza rufipogon (brownbeard rice), 197 nucleotides long. It matches the Rfam family "U2 spliceosomal RNA". From Rfam's summary of the family: U2 is a small nuclear RNA (snRNA) component of the spliceosome (involved in pre-mRNA splicing). Complementary binding between U2 snRNA (in an area lying towards the 5' end but 3' to hairpin I) and the branchpoint sequence (BPS) of the intron results the bulging out of an unpaired adenosine, on the BPS, which initiates a nucleophilic attack at the intronic 5' splice site, thus starting the first of two transesterification reactions that mediate splicing. The record is from Rfam. NCBI's taxonomy places the organism in Eukaryota, Viridiplantae, Streptophyta, Magnoliopsida, Poales, Poaceae.
AUACCUUUCUCGGCCUUUUGGCUAAGAUCAAGUGUAGUAUCUGUUCUUAUCAGUUUAAUAUCUGAUAUGUGGGCCAUGUGUCCACUUUGAUAUUAAAUUUAUUUUUUGUGGGGGAGGGCCUAUCACAGUGGCAAGCCACUGGGGCCCUCGCGCGUCGCCCAGGCGUUGCACUGCUGCCCGGGCCUGGCGCACCCCAA